RNAcentral lists this ribosomal RNA (828 nucleotides) under Kermicus sp. SBH-2020. RNAcentral's name for it is "partial large subunit ribosomal RNA". It matches the Rfam family "Eukaryotic large subunit ribosomal RNA", at positions 370 to 944 of the family's 3401-position model. Lineage: Eukaryota; Metazoa; Arthropoda; Insecta; Hemiptera; Pseudococcidae. The record is from RNAcentral.
AGAACUUUGAAGAGAGAGUUAAACAGUACGUGAAACCGUUCGGGGGUAAACGGACAGAGCCCGUGAAUCCGGGUGACGGAAUUCAGAAUCGAUGGCGUUCCUCGCGUCGUCGUCGGUUCGAUAUUUCCGUCGCCGUUAUGUAAAAACGGACGUCGCGACCCGUUCGGUGUUGGUCCGAGGAGACGCGUGUUAAAGUUUGUCGGCGCGUCGUCGAAUCGUUUCGGCGGCUAGGCGCGUGCCGGCGAGUACGCGUUCGUUUUUCUGGCCGACUUGCCGGACGGUAAGCGUAACGGUGGCCGCGGCGAUCUUUUUUUUUUCGAGCGUCGUCGCGGUGCCGGUCUGCGACGAAUCUUCGGGCCUCUUUCCGACCCGUCUUGAAACACGGACCAAGGAGUCUAAUGUGCGCGCGAGUCGCGGGGUGUCGAGCGGUCGGUGAGCGUUCUCUUUGCGGGGAGCGUUUGUUCGGCCGUUCGUUACAAUACGAAACCCGUUUCGUUUUUUACGAAAGGCGCAAUGAAAGUGAAUUUUGGGGAAGAUGACGUUUUACCGAGUACACGUUUCGCGCUCUCGUAGCGCGGCCGGUCGUCCGCAUUCCCAGGGCGUCCCGUCGCAUCGGCGGCGUUGCGGAUCGUCGUCUCUUCGGAGGCGGCGGUCGGACGUCGCCGGACAGGGGCGCACCUAUAGCGUGCACGUUGGUACCCGAAAGAUGGUGAACUAUGCCCGGCCAGGAUGAAGUCAGGGGAAACCCUGAUGGAGGUCCGCAGCGAUUCUGACGUGCAAAUCGAUCGUCUGAGCUGGGUAUAGGGGCGAAAGACUAAUCGAACCAUC